CCGAGUUUACAAACUCCCAACCCCCUGUGAACAUACCACUUGUUGCCUCGGCGGAUCAGCCCGCUCCCGGUAAAACGGGACGGCCCGCCAGAGGACCCCUAAACUCUGUUUCUAUAUAUAACUUCUGAGUAAAACCAUAAAUAAAUCA
This 148-nucleotide unclassified non-coding RNA is filed under the name soil metagenome. RNAcentral describes it as "partial internal transcribed spacer 1". The record is from RNAcentral.